UACGGAGGGUGCAAGCGUUAUCCGGAUUCACUGGGUUUAAAGGGUGCGUAGGUGGGCAGGUAAGUCAGUGGUGAAAUCCCUCAGCUUAACUGGGGAACUGCGUCUGAUACUAGCGAGCUUGAGUGCAGGAGAGGAACGCGGAAUUCCAGGUGUAGCGGUGAAAUGCGUAGAUAUCUGGAGGAACACCGGUGGCGAAGGCGGCGUUCUGGACUGCAACUGACACUGAAAAACGAAAGCCAGGGGAGCAAACGGG
Molecule: ribosomal RNA, 253 nt
Filed under: uncultured bacterium
Lineage: Bacteria
Description: partial 16S ribosomal RNA
Rfam family: Bacterial small subunit ribosomal RNA
Source: RNAcentral